UAAUACGGAGGGUGCAAGCGUUAUCCGGAUUUACUGGGUUUAAAGGGUGCGUAGGUGGGCAGGUAAGUCAGUGGUGAAAUCUUCAAGCUUAACUUGGAAACUGCCAUUGAUACUAUUUGUCUUGAAUUAUCUGGAGGUAAGCGGAAUAUGUCAUGUAGCGGUGAAAUGCUUAGAUAUGACAUAGAACACCCAUUGCGAAGGCAGCUUACUACGGAUAUAUUGACACUGAGGCACGAAAGCGUGGGGAUCAAACAGGAUUAGAUACCCUGGUAGUCCACGCCCUAAACGAUGGAUACUCGACAUCAGCGAUACACAGUUGGUGUCUGAGCGAAAGCAUUAAGUAUCCCACCUGGGAAGUACGACCGCAAGGUU
Molecule: ribosomal RNA, 372 nt
Filed under: uncultured bacterium
Lineage: Bacteria
Description: bacterial SSU rRNA
Rfam family: Bacterial small subunit ribosomal RNA
Source: RNAcentral